Molecule: non-coding RNA, 73 nt
Organism: Leuconostoc mesenteroides subsp. mesenteroides ATCC 8293
Lineage: Bacteria; Bacillati; Bacillota; Bacilli; Lactobacillales; Lactobacillaceae
Source: Rfam
GGACGCUUAGCUCAGCUGGGAGAGCACCUGCCUUACAAGCAGGGGGUCACAGGUUCGAUCCCUGUAGCGUCCA